This is a non-coding RNA of Oryza meridionalis, 207 nucleotides long. Lineage: Eukaryota; Viridiplantae; Streptophyta; Magnoliopsida; Poales; Poaceae. The record is from Rfam.
AAAAACACAAUUCCUGGGUUUCCGUGUCUAACAUUUGACCGUUCGUCUUAUUUAAAAAAAUUAUAAAAAAAUUUAAAAAGAUAAGUCAUGCAUAAAGUAUUAUUCAUGUUUUAUCAUCUAACAAUAAUAAAAAUACUUAUCAUAAAAAAAUUUUAUAUAACAUGAACGGUCAAACGUUGGAAACGGAAAUCCAAGAAUUGAGUCUUU